GACGAACGCUGGCGGCGUGCUUAACACAUGCAAGUCGAACGGAAAGGCCCUGCUUGCAGGGUACUCGAGUGGCGAACGGGUGAGUAACACGUGGGUGAUCUGCCCUGCACUUCGGGAUAAGCCUGGGAAACUGGGUCUAAUACCGGAUAGGAGCCAUUUUUAGUGUGAUGGUUGGAAAGUUUUUUCGGUGUAGGGUGAGCUCGCGGCCUAUCAGCUUGUUGGUGGGGUAAUGGCCUACCAAGGGGGCGACGGGUAGCCGGCCUGGGAGGGUGGACGGCCACAUUGGGACUGAGGGACGGCCCAGACUCCUACGGGAGGCAGCAGUGGAGAAUAUUGCACAAUGGGCGCAAGCCUGAUGCAGCGACGCCGCGUGGGGGAUGACGGCCUUCGGGUUGUAAACUCCUUUCGCUAGGGACGAAGCUUUUUGUGACGGUACCUAGAUAAGAAGCACCGGCUAACUCCGUG
This 465-nucleotide ribosomal RNA is filed under the name uncultured bacterium. RNAcentral's name for it is "partial 16S ribosomal RNA". It matches the Rfam family "Bacterial small subunit ribosomal RNA", at positions 28 to 507 of the family's 1533-position model. The record is from RNAcentral.